UUCUCCAUCGGGGACAUCCGAUAAAAUUGGAAUGAUACCGAUAGAAUUAGCAUAGCCCCUGUACAAAGAUAACACGCAUAAAUUGAGAAAGUGCUUCUCCUUUA
Capsicum annuum is the source of this 104-nucleotide non-coding RNA. The record is from Rfam. NCBI's taxonomy places the organism in Eukaryota, Viridiplantae, Streptophyta, Magnoliopsida, Solanales, Solanaceae.